CAGCCGCCACGGUAAUACGAAGGGGGCUAGCGUUGCUCGGAAUCACUGGGCGUAAAGGGUGCGUAGGCGGGUCUUUAAGUCAGGGGUGAAAUCCUGGAGCUCAACUCCAGAACUGCCUUUGAUACUGAAGAUCUUGAGUUCGGGAGAGGUGAGUGGGGCUGCGAGUGUAGAGGUGAAAUUCGUAGAUAUUCGCAAGAACACCAGUGGCGAAGGCGGCUCACUGGCCCGAUACUGACGCUGAGGCACGAAAGCGUGGGGAGCAAACAGGAUUAGAUACCCGCGUAGUCCCUGUCUCUUAUAC
This 301-nucleotide ribosomal RNA is filed under the name uncultured bacterium. Its description in RNAcentral is "partial 16S ribosomal RNA". It matches the Rfam family "Bacterial small subunit ribosomal RNA", at positions 509 to 807 of the family's 1533-position model. The record is from RNAcentral.